Molecule: small RNA, 90 nt
Filed under: Epilithonimonas mollis
Lineage: Bacteria; Pseudomonadati; Bacteroidota; Flavobacteriia; Flavobacteriales; Weeksellaceae
Description: Chryseobacterium molle Flavo-1 RNA
Rfam family: Flavo-1 RNA
Source: RNAcentral
ACCCAGCCCCGAUGAUAGGGGCAUCCUUUUUUGUCUAGCUUAUGUAAAAGCUAUGAAACAAAAGAGAUACAGCGGACAGCGGGAAACAGC